This 253-nucleotide ribosomal RNA is filed under the name uncultured bacterium. RNAcentral's name for it is "partial 16S ribosomal RNA". It matches the Rfam family "Bacterial small subunit ribosomal RNA", at positions 524 to 776 of the family's 1533-position model. The record is from RNAcentral.
UACGGAGGAUGCGAGCGUUAUCCGGAUUUAUUGGGUUUAAAGGGUGCGUAGGCGGGGCGAUAAGUCAGUGGUGAAAUCUUGCAGCUUAACUGUAAAAUUGCCAUUGAUACUGUUGUUCUAGAGUACGGUUGAGGUAGGCGGAAUGUGUAAUGUAGCGGUGAAAUGCUUAGAUAUUACACAGAACACCGAUUGCGUAGGCAGCUUACUAAGCCGCAACUGACGCUGAGGCACGAAAGCGUGGGGAUAGAACAGG